Long non-coding RNA from Cygnus olor (mute swan), 2648 nucleotides. RefSeq lists it as uncharacterized. The transcript is spliced from 9 exons. The record is from RefSeq and is a predicted model, not a curated record. Lineage: Eukaryota; Metazoa; Chordata; Aves; Anseriformes; Anatidae.
UAAAACUCAUUAGUGAUUAAUUUUUAAAAUAUUUAUUGCUUUCAUAUGCAAAAAUUCAAUGUUGUAUAUACAUUUAUUGUACUGACUGUACCAAAUAUGCUAAUUCUGACUUUCUUUUUCUUCAAAAAACAGGUAUUCCUGAAAUACCCAUGCACUCCUUUAUCCAUCAUGUUAGAACAGGAAAAGUCUAUUCUUAACAGAAGUGGAAUUUUACACCUGCCCAACUUAACAUCAGUUCAAAUGGUAUUAGUACUGAACGGAAGAAAUCCAAACCUUUGUGAUUUGACUUUGAUUAGUGCUGCCUCACACUGCAAGCAGUACUUCAGGAAGAAAGCUGAAUUUAUUGCUGUUGUUUCUAACUUCCCAUCGGCAACGCAUGGCAGCACCUAGCCUAAAGCUGACCAUUAUAUUUCAUUUAAGAAAAAGAUAAUGAUGUGAUCCCAUCAAGACAGAGUAAGGAAGCAGAGCAUGGUAGUGGCUGGGGAACAGGAGGUGACCAUCAAGUCCUCUGACUUCUCCUCAGUGCCCCUUGCUUUCGUGCAAAUAACCGCUGCUUCCCUGCAGAUAACUGCUGGCAAUGAUUCAGUCACUAACUUCAGCACUAGUGGAAAUUUACUUGACGUGCUAGAUGUGAAUUAUUUAUUCAGUUAAAUAUCCCAUAAUCUUCUGGCUGAAAAAGAGAGGGACUUGUCCUGAUCUGACACGAUUCGUCUGCAGAGGUCGUCUGUGUUCUGAGUGCCAGAAAUCCUGCUGAGGGCUCGUGUGAACUCAGCCAGCUCAGAGUUAUGAACUAAUACUGAUACCAAAUAUACUUUUAAAUCUAUCAGCUAGCAAGAAAGUAAAAUUGCUUGUAAUUUAAAAGGAUGGCACUCCCUUUGCAAUUGUUUGCUCAACUAUUUCUUGACUGGUCAGCUCGAUGGACGAACGCGCAAGGAGAUGGAAAACUUCAUCUUUCAACGUGAAAGAAUACCAAUGCACUGUGAAGAACUGUUUCUAGCUCACUUCACCGUGUUACUUCACAUUGCUGCUAAUUUCCUAAAACUGGCUACCAGCUAAACUGAUGAGGCGUCAGAGCGAUUGUACCUCCCUGCAAGUUGCAUUAUAGGAGCUGCACUGAAAACAGUUUGAAUACCUUCCUUAUGAAAAGUCAAACAGCACCAUAGAUGCCCACAAAUGCUGUAAGGACCGUGGAUUUAUAUCCUAUCAGAAAAUGGAAUUAAAGAAUGUCUGAGGAGGGCUGCAAUACCCUGUGCUGAAUGGAGUGAUCAGCAACAAAAAAGCCCAGAGGUCUGACGAAUACUUUACAUCAUGUACCAAAGCCAGAGAACUACAGCAUAACUCUUCUGUGUUCUGGUAAUGGAGUCCUGAGGACUUGGCUGGUGGUCUCUGCAAUUCUGUAACUGAGCUUUGGGCCGCACUGCAUCGCUCACUGGACCAAUCCACCACUUCACGCGUAUCUAUGAUCUGGGGUUACUGGCAGUGGCCACAUCCUGAUUGCUGGUAUUUUGAUGGCUGCACCUCCAAACAGAGAAAGUGUGGAGGUUACCUGUGUCAGGGCCACAAGGCUGGAAGGAGAUACUUCCCCCUGUGAAGGAAUUGGCAGAGAAUGGGCAUAGAAUUGGCUCCACACCACUGCUUACUAAUGAUCAGAAUAGCUGGCCAGGCAUGAAGAGGAAUGUCAGCUGCAAUAAUUUAUUUCCUUCCCUGGAGCGGAUGAGGAGCAGCGCGGGCCUACAAGGAGCCUCGAUGCCUCCCUAGGCUUCCUGGGGAGCAGGGCAGUGCUCUGAGCACCCCUUGCUUGCGGCUGUGCCUAAAGGCACAGGCUAGCGCUAGCUGAAUUACAGACUCUUUGAGUUGCUGCUUUAUAUGCAACAUUGACAUUCCUUUCAUUGCACAUACAGUGUUCAUCAGGCAUUUGAAUCUGGAUAAUGAGAAGACUGCAUAAUCCAAUUGCAGCUCUUCAUUUGAAAGUUUUAUUUUCCUCUCGUGGCUGAUGCCGUGGCUCCAGUUAUUCCCAGAGAUUAUCUGAUCAGCACUACAGCUCUGCCUUUCAUGGGAGGAACUUAGCAGGAAUGGGUAGCUCCAGGAAAUCAGCUUUUUUGGCUUUUUUUUUUUUUUUUCAAGUUCAUCCUCCAAAAUAAACAACUAAAUGUGUGUCAUUUGAGACUGGGAGGAAACUGGACAUGUCACUGGGCAUGUCAACCUGACUAACCACUUCACUUGAAACUAAAAUGAUAAUGAAAUUAAAAAAAUAAAAAUAAAAAUAGUAAGUUGGGGGUAGUGGCAGCUAAAUUAAGUUCCUGCUAACUCCUAAGGACUGAUUUUAAUUUACUGGAAACUUAUCCUGACACUGGCAUCUGUUGAUUGUUAAGUUUCUCCUGACAAAGUUAAGACACCAGCUUUCAUUUCAACAUAACUUUAUCCUUUUGGUGUAAUUAAAAAAGGUGAAUUAUUCUAUCUUGCUGUUGCACAGUCUUAUUGCUCCUCACUGAGGAUAUCCAUAUGGUAAGGGACCUUUUGGUGUAAAGUAUCAAAUCUAGCCAAGUGCUAAGCUCCCACUGAGGCAGGUAUUUCUUGGCUCCUGUAAAUGGCUUGUAGAAUAUAUAGAAUAAAUCAGGUGUCAUCUAGGGGAAGCUCACAUCCUUCCA